RNAcentral lists this ribosomal RNA (433 nucleotides) under uncultured bacterium. Its description in RNAcentral is "partial 16S ribosomal RNA". It matches the Rfam family "Bacterial small subunit ribosomal RNA", at positions 29 to 507 of the family's 1533-position model. The record is from RNAcentral.
AACGAACGCUGGCGGCAUGCCUAACACAUGCAAGUCGAACGAGACCUUCGGGUCUAUUGGCGCACGGGUGCGUAACGCGUGGGAACCUGCCCUUAGGGUCGGAAUAACUCCCCGAAAGGGGUGCUAAUACCGGAUAAUGGCUUCGGACCAAAGAUUUAUCGCCUUUGGAUGGGCCCGCGUUGGAUUAGCUUGUUGGUAGGGUAAAAGCCUACCAAGGCGACGAUCCAUAGCUGGUCUGAGAGGAUGAUCAGCCACACUGGGACUGAGACACGACCCAGACUCCUACGGGAGGCAGCAGUGGGGAAUAUUGGACAAUGGGCGAAAGCCUGAUCCAGCAAUGCCGCGUGAGUGAUGAAGGCCUUAGGGUUGUAAAGCUCUUUUAACCGGGAUGAUAAUGACAGUACCGGGAGAAUAAGCUCCGGCUAACUCCGUG